GAUGAACGCUGGCGGCGUGCCUAAUACAUGCAAGUCGAACGCACAGCGAAAGGUGCUUGCACUUUUCAAGUGAGUGGCGAACGGGUGAGUAACACGUGGACAACCUGCCUCAAGGCUGGGGAUAACAUUUGGAAACAGAUGCUAAUACCGAAUAAAACUCAGUGUCGCAUGACACAAAGUUAAAAGGCGCUUUGGCGUCACCUAGAGAUGGAUCCGCGGUGCAUUAGUUAGUUGGUGGGGUAAAGGCCUACCAAGACAAUGAUGCAUAGCCGAGUUGAGAGACUGAUCGGCCACACUGGGACUGAGACACGGCCCAAACUCCUACGGGAGGCUGCAGUAGGGAAUCUUCCACAAUGGGCGAAAGCCUGAUGGAGCAACGCCGCGUGUGUGAUGAAGGCUUUCGGGUCGUAGAGCACUGUUGUAUGGGAAGAACAGCUAGAAUAGGGAAUGAUUUUAGUUUGACGGUACCAUACCAGAAAGGGACGGCUAAAUACGUGCCAGCCGCCGCAGUAA
RNAcentral lists this ribosomal RNA (513 nucleotides) under uncultured bacterium. RNAcentral's name for it is "partial 16S ribosomal RNA". It matches the Rfam family "Bacterial small subunit ribosomal RNA", at positions 28 to 523 of the family's 1533-position model. The record is from RNAcentral.